This is a long non-coding RNA of Mustela lutreola (European mink), 1971 nucleotides long. RefSeq lists it as uncharacterized. Lineage: Eukaryota; Metazoa; Chordata; Mammalia; Carnivora; Mustelidae. The transcript has 3 exons. The record is from RefSeq and is a predicted model, not a curated record.
GCCGCUCGUAGUCUGGCCCCGUGAGUCGCCCUCGUGGCAUAGGAUCCUCAGCCCCAUCACCAAACACCCGAUGCCGCCAGCACCAUGCACGCCCCUGUCACCGCCAGCAUGGCUGGGGAGAGGGGCCGCCUCAGCCGAGCCCCCAGCAAGCCUCUCCAGGUCCCGGAGCAGUAGUCACCUGUACAGAGACAGAGGACAGCUGAAACCCAGCCCAGGUAGAACGACCAGGAGAAGAAGGUCUGGAUCUGAGGGUGUUGAGGCUGGUUCCACCGCUCGCUGGUAUAGACCGCCAUGGCCACCACAGCAAAAAUGGCUGGGGAUGAAGAUGAGAGAGGGCUCAGACCCUCUGCAGAAACUCACCAGUCCCCAGAGCCCAAGUGCAGCCCGGAGCCUACCUGCAGCAAAAGCCAUGAUAGAGGAGGAGAGGGGCCCGUAGCCUCGAAUGGACAGUGAGGGGACGUAGGACAAGAUCAGGAAGAUCACCGACACCAGCGCCGACAGUGCAGCCAGAAUGCUGAGGCUCUGCGUCGCGCGGAUGUAGCCUGCCCCGAGGUCCUAGACAGAGCCUCACCUCACCGAUGAGCAGGAAGAAGGCGAAGGUGUCGCAGCCCAGGUGGAAGGUGCAGGCUCAUGUGACUUCCAAACCAAGGGAAUGGCCUAGAAGAAGACCUCUGUCACAAAGAUGACACGAGCCAGCAGUCCCACAGCAGCCGGUAAAGGGGAGACUCAGAGGGACUCAAGAGGCCAGGGCCUCUUCCAUUACUGGAAUCUCCAGUUUGCAGGCCCCCCAUCUCUCACCCAGACCCUCACCACCAAGGUAACUGGCCAGUCCUGAGCACGUGCUCACGAAUGCAGGCUUUCAGGGGCAGAUUCGGGUCAUAAGGAGCAGGGGCACCGACGCAAAAAUGGCGGUAUGUGUACCUCUAGUGGAGAGCAGUGGACAGGCUUCAGGAAUCCCGGCCAAGGGAGUGUCAGAGCCCAGAGGUCACCUGCAAUCUCUACCCCAUCCUUAACUCCACCCCUGUCCUCCAACACAACCCCAGUAUCAUCCCCAGACCUAACCCCAAACUCAGCCCCAUCCCUAACCUCAUCUCCAAACCAAACCCAACCCUGUCCAUAACCCAGCUCUACCCACAAAUUCAACCCCGUCCUGAUUCCUAAACCAAACCCUAUUUUCAUUGCCAAGACCGGCUCUAAACCCAGUCCCAUCCCCAACCCCCAAUACAACCCACUCCUUAACCCCAGCUCCAGCCUCUAAUUUAACCCCAUCCUCCAAACUAACCUGACCUCCAUCCUCUUAUUCACAAACUCAGCCCCAACCCCAUGUCCAAAUCCAAGUUCAGCCCCAAACACAAACCCAUCCUCAUUCUGAGACUUAAUGCUAACCUUGUUUGGAACUUCACACCAGAUCACACUUCCAGCGCCACCCCAACCUUCCUCCUGCUCUGUCCCACCCUUUAUAAUUCCGACCUCAGCCCUACUCAUAUUCAUCUCAAUCCCACCUAUUUCAUCCCCCCCCCCCCACACACACACACUGUAGAGAAUGGACUAUGGAGGCAGGCGGGGGGUGGGGGACAGGAGGAGGGGCAGAGCUGGUUAGGAGACUGAGGCCAUAAGCCAGGUGAAACAAGAUAUGAGUCCUAACUGGGUGAUCAAGGAACCUGGACACAGUUUUAAGGUAGAGCCAAUGCCGCUUGCCAGUGAAUCAGGUGUGGGACGCAGUAAAGCAGCUGCUGAUGAUCCCAGGACUCUUGGCAGGAGCAGCUGGAUGACAAUGAGGCAAGAUGGGGAGAUAUGGGAGGAGUUGGUAUGGGAUGUGGGAGAGACCAGGACACCUGAGAUUUGAGAUGCCUCUUCUUUUCAAGUGGACACUGGAGAUGAGUCUGGAAUUACCACAUCAUUAUUAUUGCUAGAAUAAACUCCUAUAAAUAUGAUUCCUGGAAUAAGCCUCAAUAAAUAUGUCUCCUUAAA